GUCCACGCCGUAACGAUGGAUACUAGCUGUUCGGAGCAAUCUGAGUGGCUAAGCGAAGUGAUAAGUAUCCCACCUGGGGAGUACGUUCGCAAGAAUGAACUCAAGGAAUUGACGGGGCCCGCACAAGCGGUGGAGCAUGUGGUUUAAUUCGAUGAUACGCGAGGAACCUUACCAAGGCUUAAAUGUAGAUUGACAGGACUGGAAACAGUUUUUCUUCGGACAAUUUACAAGGUGCUGCAUGGUUGUCGU
Molecule: ribosomal RNA, 249 nt
Filed under: uncultured bacterium
Lineage: Bacteria
Description: partial 16S ribosomal RNA
Rfam family: Bacterial small subunit ribosomal RNA
Source: RNAcentral